UACGUAGGGACCAAGCGUUGUUCGGAUUUACUGGGCGUAAAGGGCGCGUAGGCGGUCUGUCGCGUCUGCUGUGAAAACUCAGGGCUUAACCCUGAGCCUGCUUCCGAUACGGGCUGACUAGAGGUAUGCAGGGGAGAACGGAGUUCCUGGUGUAGCGGUGAAAUGCGCAGAUAUCAGGAGGAACACCGGUGGCGAAGGCGGUUCUCUGGGCAUUACCUGACGCUGAGGAGCGAAAGUGUGGGGAGCGAACAGG
Molecule: ribosomal RNA, 253 nt
Filed under: uncultured bacterium
Lineage: Bacteria
Description: partial 16S ribosomal RNA
Rfam family: Bacterial small subunit ribosomal RNA
Source: RNAcentral